Molecule: signal recognition particle RNA, 148 nt
Filed under: Homo sapiens (human)
Lineage: Eukaryota; Metazoa; Chordata; Mammalia; Primates; Hominidae
Description: Metazoan signal recognition particle RNA
Rfam family: Metazoan signal recognition particle RNA
About the family: The signal recognition particle (SRP) is a universally conserved ribonucleoprotein. It is involved in the co-translational targeting of proteins to membranes. The eukaryotic SRP consists of a 300-nucleotide 7S RNA and six proteins: SRPs 72, 68, 54, 19, 14, and 9.
Source: Rfam by way of RNAcentral
GCCGGGCGUGGUGGCACACGCCUGUAAUCCCAGCUACUCAGGAGGCUGAGGCAGGAGAAUUGCUUGAACCCAGGAGGCGGAGGUUGCAGUGAGCCAAGAUCGUGCCACUGCACUCCAGCCUGGGCGACAGAGCAAGAUUCUGUCUCAA